Molecule: ribosomal RNA, 464 nt
Filed under: uncultured bacterium
Lineage: Bacteria
Description: partial 16S ribosomal RNA
Rfam family: Bacterial small subunit ribosomal RNA
Source: RNAcentral
CCUACGGGUGGCAGCAGUAGGGAAUGUUCGUCAAUGGGCGCAAGCCUGAACGAGCAAUGCCGCGUGAACGAGGAAGGUCUUCGGAUCGUAAAGUUCUGUUGAAGGGGAAAAAGAGCGGAGAGAGGAAAUGGUCUCCGAUUGAUAUUACCCUUCGAGGAAGGCACGGCUAACGACGUGCCAGCAGCCGCGGUAAUACGUAGGUGGCGAGCGUUAUCCGGAAUGAUUGUGCGUAACGGGUGCGUAGGCGGCCUGCUAAGUCUGGAGUAAAAGGUCCCGGCUCAACCGGUACAGGCUCUGGAAACUGGCGGGCUAGCGCUCCGUAGAGGGCGGUGGAACUCCAUGUGUAGCGGUUAACUGCUUAGAUAUAUGGAAGAACACCAGUGGCGAAGGCGGCCGCCUGGCCUGUUACUGACGCUGAGGCACGAAAGCGUGGGGAGCAAAUAGGAUUAGAUACCCGAGUAGUC